AGUCAUAUGCUUGUCUCAAAGAUUAAGCCAUGCAUGUGUCAGUACAGGCCGCUCUAAGGCGAAACCGCGAAUGGCUCAUUAAAUCAGUUAUCAUUCAUUUGAUCCAAACCUAUUACUCGGAUAACCCUGGUAAUUCUAGAGCUAAUACGUGACGAUUACAACUCCGACUGGAAGGGAGGAGUGCUUUUAUUAGUUGAAAACCAAUCGGGCCUCGGUCCGUCCACUUUACUGUGACGACUCUGAAUAACUUUGUGCCGAGAGCACGGUCUCCGCACCGGCUCCGUAUCUUUCGAGUUUCUGCCUUAUCAUGCUGUGGAUUGUAGGCCAUGCGCCUACAGUGGCUGUUACGGGUGACGGAGAAUCAGGGUUCGAUUCCGGAGAGGGAGCCUGAGAAACGGCUACCACAUCCAAGGAAGGCAGCAGGCACGCAAAUUACCCAAUCCCAGCUCUGGGAGGUAGUGACGAAAAAUAACAAUGCGGGACUCUUCCGAGUCUGCGUAAUUGGAAUGAGCACACUUUAAAUCCUUUAGCAACAACCAAUUGGAGGGCAAGUCUGGUGCCAGCAGCCGCGGUAAUUCCAGCUCCAAUAGCGUAUAUUAAAGUUGUUGCAGUUAAARGCUCGUAGUUCGAGCUCAGUUCCGGACUGGCCGGGGAGGUCACCGCCCGGUGCUUCCCCGUCAGGCUCCGAACAGCUUCCCUGAGUGGAAGCCAAGCCGGUUCUGCCGGGGUGCUCUUUACCGAGUGUCCCGCGCGGCCGGCCAGUUCACCUUGAAUAAAUGAGAGUGCUCAAAGCAGGCUACUCUCGAAUACAAUGCCCGAAUGUUACCUGCAUGGAAUGAUGGAAGAUGAUCUCGGUUCCAUUUUAUUGGUGGUGGGAGCCCGAGGUAAUGAUAAACAGGGACUGUCGGGGGCAUCCGUACUACGACGCGAGAGGUGAAAUUCAGUGACCGUCGUAGGACGAACAACAGMGAAAGCAUUUGCCAAGAAUGUCUUCGUUGAUCAAGAACGAAAGUUAGAGGAUCGAAGGYGAUCAGAUACCGCCCUAGUUCUAACCCUAAAYGAUGCUGACUAGCAAUUCGCCGUCGUUAUUCCCAUGAYGUGGCGAGACGCCCCCGGGAAACCUCAAGUCUUUGAGUUCCGGGGGUAGUAUGGUUGCAAAACUGAAACUUAAAGGAAUUGACGGAAGGGCACCACCAGGAGUGGAGCCUGCGGCUUAAUUUGACUCAACACGGGAAACCUCACCAGGCCCGGACACCAGAAGGAUUGACAGAUUAAGAGCUCUUUCUCGAUUUGGUGGGUGG
Molecule: ribosomal RNA, 1301 nt
Filed under: Brachycarpus biunguiculatus
Lineage: Eukaryota; Metazoa; Arthropoda; Malacostraca; Decapoda; Palaemonidae
Description: SSU rRNA
Rfam family: Eukaryotic small subunit ribosomal RNA
Source: RNAcentral